This 378-nucleotide unclassified non-coding RNA is filed under the name plant metagenome. Its description in RNAcentral is "partial contains 5.8S ribosomal RNA, internal transcribed spacer 2, and large subunit ribosomal RNA". The stretch from base 1 to 105 matches the Rfam family "5.8S ribosomal RNA", at positions 50 to 154 of the family's 154-position model. The record is from RNAcentral.
GAAAUGCGAUACGUAAUGUUACUUGCCGAAUUCAGUGAAUCAUCGAAUCUUUUCACUCACCUUGCGCUCCUUGGUAUUCCUUGGAGCAUGCCUGUUUGAGUAUCAUGAAAUCUUCAAAGUAACUCUUUUGUUAACUCAAUUGGUUUCUACUUUGGUAUUGGAGGUCUUUGCAGCUUCACACCUGCUCCUCUUUGUUCAUUAGCUGGAUCUCAGUGUUAUGCUUGGUUCCACUCGGCGUGAUAAGUUAUCUAUCGCUGAGGACACUGUAAAAGGUGGCCAAGGUAAAUGCAGAUGAACCGCUUCUAAUAGUCCAUUGACUUGGACAAUACUUUUAUGAUCUGAUCUCAAAUCAGGUAGGACUACCCGCUGAACUUAAGC